Molecule: ribosomal RNA, 1285 nt
Filed under: Oxyethira ecornuta
Lineage: Eukaryota; Metazoa; Arthropoda; Insecta; Trichoptera; Hydroptilidae
Description: 16S ribosomal RNA
Source: RNAcentral
AAAUAAAUAUUAAUAAGAAAAUUAUUAUUUUUUUUUAUAAAAAUAAUUUUAAAUUAUAAAAUUUUAGUAUGAUUAAGAACAAAUAGAUAAAUUAAAGUGAAAUAGUAUUGUAAAAGAAAAUUUAAAAAUUGAAAUUUUUUUGUUUAAAAGAAAAAAUUAUUUUUUGUACUUUGUGUAUCAAUGUUUAUUAAAUUGGUUAAAAAAUUUUAUUAUCUCUAAAUAAAUAGAGUUAAAUUGAUAAUUUUUUAAUGUGAAAUAAUUAUUAAGAAUAUUAAUUUAGAAAUGAAAAGUUAUUCGGGAUUUAUAUAUAUAGUUUUUUAAGAAAUAAAUUUAAUUUAUUUAAAUUUAAAUAUUAUAAUUUGUUUGAAUUAUUAUUAUUAGAAUUUAAAAAUUUUAAAUGGGAUAAGCUUUUUAAAAUAAUUUUAUAUGAAAAUAAUUGUAAUUAAAGUUAGGAUUAAUAUUAUCUUUAUUUUAUAUUAAAUUUAAUUAAAAAAAAAUUUAAUUUAAAUUAAUAUUUAAUAAUUUAUUAAAAUGAUUUUUUUAUUAAUUUAAAAAAUAUAAUUAUGAUAAAAUUAGUAUAAUUUAAUUAAUAAUUUUUAAAAAAAUAAAAAUUAAAUUAAAUAAUUCGACAAAUUAAUUAAGUUUAACUGUUUAACAAAAACAUUGUUUUUUGAAUUAAUUUAAGAUAAAAUCUGCCCCAUGAUAAUUUUAAAUGGCUGCAUAAUUUGUACUAAGGUAGCAUAAUCAAUAGUUUCUUAAUUAGAUUCUUGUAUGAAUGAUUUUAUAAGAUUUAAUUUGUUUCAAUUUAAAUUUUAAAAUUUUAUUUUUUAGUAAAAAAGCUAAAAUUUAUUUAAAAGACGAGAAGACCCUAUAAAUCUUUAUUAAAAAUUAUUUAAUGAGUUAAUAUUUUUUAAAUUAUUAAUUAAAAUUUAAUUUUAUUGGGGUGAUACGUAAAUUUAAAAAACUUUAAAUAAUAAUAACAUUAAUUUAUGAAUAUUUGAUCUUAAUUUUAGAAAAAAGAAUAAGUUACUUUAGGGAUAACAGCGUAAUUUAAUUUUUAAGGUCAAAUUGAAAUUUAAGAUUGCGACCUCGAUGUUGGAUUAAGGUAUAUAAAAAAAGUAGAAUUUUUAAUAAUUUAGUCUGUUCGACUAUUAAAAUCUUACAUGAUCUGAGUUCAAAUCGGGGUAACCCAGAUUGGUUUCUAUCUUUAAUUAAAAUAAUAUUUUUAGUACGAAAGGAAAAUAAUGUAAUAAAAAAUUUUUUAUCUAAAAAUUAAAUUAUAUUU